CCUCCGUUGGUGAACCAGCGGGGGGAUCAUUACAGAGUUGCAAAACUCCCAAACCAUUGUGAACGUUACCUAUCCCGUUGCUUCGGCGGGCGGCCCGGGCCCCGCGCCCGGCGCCCCCCGGCCCCCCGUGGGCGCCCGCCGGAGGUAAACCAAACCCUUGAAUUGCAUGGCCUCUCUGAGUCUUCUGUACUGAAUAAGUCAAAACUUUCAACAACGGAUCUCUUGGUUCUG
Molecule: unclassified non-coding RNA, 231 nt
Filed under: plant metagenome
Description: partial contains small subunit ribosomal RNA, internal transcribed spacer 1, and 5.8S ribosomal RNA
Source: RNAcentral